RNAcentral lists this unclassified non-coding RNA (205 nucleotides) under Hevea brasiliensis (rubber tree). Lineage: Eukaryota; Viridiplantae; Streptophyta; Magnoliopsida; Malpighiales; Euphorbiaceae. The record is from RNAcentral.
CCUUGAGCCAUGCGGUCGGCACCGAGGCGAAGGCUUCGUUGACCUCGAACAGAUCGAUAUCAUCGAUCUUCAUGCCGGCCUUCUUCAGCGCGCGGUGCGUCGCAGGCAGCGGCGCUUCCAGCAUGAUGACGGGAUCGCCGCCGAUCAUGGUCAUGUGAUGAAUGCGCGCCAGCGGCGCGAUACCGAGCGCCUUGAGGCCGCGCUC